This 215-nucleotide ribosomal RNA is filed under the name Salmonella enterica subsp. enterica serovar Anatum. RNAcentral describes it as "partial 16S ribosomal RNA". It matches the Rfam family "Bacterial small subunit ribosomal RNA", at positions 997 to 1212 of the family's 1533-position model. Lineage: Bacteria; Pseudomonadati; Pseudomonadota; Gammaproteobacteria; Enterobacterales; Enterobacteriaceae. The record is from RNAcentral.
AAUCCAGAGAUGGAUUUGUGCCUUCGGGAACCGUGAGACAGGUGCUGCAUGGCUGUCGUCAGCUCGUGUUGUGAAAUGUUGGGUUAAGUCCCGCAACGAGCGCAACCCUUAUCCUUUGUUGCCAGCGAUUAGGUCGGGAACUCAAAGGAGACUGCCAGUGAUAAACUGGAGGAAGGUGGGGAUGACGUCAAGUCAUCAUGGCCCUUACGACCAGG